Long non-coding RNA from Sinocyclocheilus grahami, 252 nucleotides. RefSeq lists it as uncharacterized. The record is from RefSeq and is a predicted model, not a curated record. NCBI's taxonomy places the organism in Eukaryota, Metazoa, Chordata, Actinopteri, Cypriniformes, Cyprinidae. The transcript has 3 exons.
ACUACAAGCUGUCAGACAGCAAAACUCCAAAGUAUCUCCACAAUGAGAAUGUUAAAUUAGUGCCUGACAUUGUGGGCAAUGCCUUCUAUAAGGAGCAGUUUGAGACAGUAGAGCAGUGCUUCAAAGUCAUCGGCUUCACCCUAGAGGAGCUCGGGAGUGUUUACAGUAUCUUAGCUGGGAUCCUAAAUGCAGGAGAUGUCGAGUUCACGUCAGUCGCUUCCGAACAUCAGACGGACAAAAGCAACAUUUCCA